UGCAAGUCGAACGAAGUAGCAAUACUUAGUGGCAGACGGGUGAGUAACAUGUAGGUAUCUACCCUUUGGCCUGGAAUAACACGAGGAAACUUGUGCUAAUACCAGAUAAGUCUUUACGGAGAAAGCUUUAUGCACCAUUGGAUGAGCCUGCACUUGAUUAGUUUGUUGGUGGGGUAAUGGCCUACCAAGACUGUGAUCAAUAGCUGAUUUGAGAGGAUGAUCAGCCACAUUGGGACUGAGACACGGCCCAAACUCCUACGGGAGGCAGCAGUGGGGAAUCUUGCACAAUGGAGGAAACUCUGAUGCAGCGAUGCCGCGUGAGUGAAGAAGGCCUUUGGGUUGUAAAGCUCUUUCGUCGGGGAAGAAAAUGACUGUACCCGAAUAAGGAGGUCCGGCUAACUUCGUGCCAGCAGCCGCGGUAAUACGAAGGGACCUAGCGUAGUUCGGAAUUACUGGGCUUAAAGAGUUCGUAGGUGGUUGAAAAAGUUAGUGGUGAAAUCCCAGAGCUUAACUCUGGAACUGCCUUUAAAACUUUUCAGCUAGAGUAUGAUAGAGGAAAGCAGAAUUUCUAGUGUAGAGGUGAAAUUCGUAGAUAUUAGAAAGAAUACCAAUUGCGAAGGCAGCUUUCUGGAUCAUUACAGACACUGAGGAACGAAAGCAUGGGUAGCGAAGAGGAUUAGAUACCCUCGUAGUCCAUGCCGUAAACGAUGUGUGUUAGACGUUGGAAAUUUAUUUUCAGUGUCGCAGCGAAAGCGAUAAACACACCGCCUGGGGAGUACGACCGCAAGGUUAAAACUCAAAUGAAUUGACGGGGACCCGCACAAGUAGUGGAGCAUGUGGUUUAAUUCGAAGAUACGCGCAGAACCUUUACCAACACUUGACAUGUUCGUCGCGACUUU
RNAcentral lists this ribosomal RNA (899 nucleotides) under uncultured marine bacterium. RNAcentral describes it as "bacterial SSU rRNA". It matches the Rfam family "Bacterial small subunit ribosomal RNA", at positions 56 to 1002 of the family's 1533-position model. The record is from RNAcentral.